Long non-coding RNA from Poecilia latipinna (sailfin molly), 329 nucleotides. RefSeq lists it as uncharacterized. The transcript has 3 exons. NCBI's taxonomy places the organism in Eukaryota, Metazoa, Chordata, Actinopteri, Cyprinodontiformes, Poeciliidae. The record is from RefSeq and is a predicted model, not a curated record.
AACGACAAACGGCAACCGUCAAUAUUUGCUUUCAAGAAUGGACCAUUAAAGGCAGUACAUGAACCCUUUUUAGGGCUUCAUUUAGCAUAAAUACCAAUUAGUUGGUUCGAAGCCGUUUGCUUGUUGGCGAAGGAUGAAGGUGAAAGUGGAUUUCUACUGUCUUAAAACGACAAGAGUCUUCAAAAGGUCGAGGCGAUUUCAUGAGAAUAUUGUUUGAGGAGCUUUUAAACUGCAGCUGUUAGCUUCAACUAAUCUAUGUGUAUAAAAUGAAGAUGCCAAGAGAGUUACCUAAUGAGACUAAUAAAUCAUAAUUAAAUUACAAUGCAUCA